Molecule: ribosomal RNA, 451 nt
Filed under: uncultured bacterium
Lineage: Bacteria
Description: partial 16S ribosomal RNA
Rfam family: Bacterial small subunit ribosomal RNA
Source: RNAcentral
GUGGGGAAUAUUGGACAAUGGGGGGAACCCUGAUCCAGCCAUGCCGCGUGUGUGAAGAAGGCCUUUUGGUUGUAAAGCACUUUAAGCGAGGAGGAGGCUACCGAGAUUAAUACUCUUGGAUAGUGGACGUUACUCGCAGAAUAAGCACCGGCUAACUCUGUGCCAGCAGCCGCGGUAAUACAGAGGGUGCAAGCGUUAAUCGGAUUUACUGGGCGUAAAGCGAGCGUAGGUGGCUAAUUAAGUCAAAUGUGAAAUCCCCGAGCUUAACUUGGGAAUUGCAUUCGAUACUGGUUAGCUAGAGUAUGGGAGAGGAUGGUAGAAUUCCAGGUGUAGCGGUGAAAUGCGUAGAGAUCUGGAGGAAUACCGAUGGCGAAGGCAGCCAUCUGGCCUAAUACUGACACUGAGGUGCGAAAGCAUGGGGAGCAAACAGGAUUAGAUACCCGUGUAGUCC